CCCAGUUUUGGAAUUCAAGAACACCUAAGGAUUCCACUGAUUUGCUGAUCUGAAACUAGUACUAUGCUCUACAUAUAAUGGACCCUUAAUGAAUAUUAUUAAUUUAUUUUUCUUUACCUAUUUGCUAAUCAGAUACCUCUGUUGUGAAGAAAGGGUAAAAAUGUGUGUUUUUUAAAAAAAUGUUGGAAAUAACAUUAGAUUUAUAAUGCCAGCUCAAAACAGAGCUGACCAUUUCUCUUUCAUGUGUUGGCUGACAGGAGCUCGAGUAUAUUUAGCUUGCCGGGAUGUGGAAAAGGGGGAAUUGGUGGCCAAAGAGAUCCAGACCACAACAGGGAACCAGCAGGUGUUGGUGCGGAAACUGGACCUGUCUGAUACUAAGUCUAUUCGAGCUUUUGCUAAGGGCUUCUUAGCCGGUAAGUGUAGAACUAGAGAGACUAUGUUGUGGGUCUUGAGGUCAACAUGGCAGAUUCAACUAAAAGGAAAAGGUCCCUCUUCCUCAUAGAAGUGGUGGAUAAAAUAUAGCCAAAAACUUCUGAAGCUGAACUCAUAGUCACUGGGACACAAUUUAUGUCAAAGGGAUAUCUUCCAGAGGCAGAAACAAAAAAUGAAUUCAAAACGUCAUAGCAGUGAGCAAGAGCUGAAGCCAGAAAUCUCAUGGGAGUCUCAGCACUCAGUACAGGCUUUUUAGGGGCUGGGGUCUAAAUACUUACACAGGGAUAGGAGAUGAGGCCACAGGCCUUUGAGAGCUGGAGCUGUAUUUGAGGUUCUACACAAAGUUGAGAUUCACAAAGGGCCAUCUGGUCCAUAGUAUAGAAGCUAAUAAAAAUCCUGGCCACCAGCUCAGAGACAUGACAAAGAAGUUUACCAUCUCUUUAGACAUAGAUGGAUACUUAUCUGCAAAAAAUUAGAACCCAAGCUGGCAUCAUCUGUGGGGUCUGAAUUCGUACCACCAAAUGAUAUGAGGAUAUUUAUGGGUUUGAUUUUUGUAUGUGUGUGUAAUACUCUAUGGAAAAUUAACGUAAAAACCUGUAGUGUCUCAUCAAAAGCAAAUCCAAGAGCACUCUAUAGGCAUAUCCCCUUAUAGCCCAGGGAUCUAGGCCUCCAAGGAAAAAGCUUUCACUGGUGUGAACUCAUAGUCAUAAAUUACAAACCACAUGAGGAAAUGAACCAUGAGAGAGAAUUGGAAGAUGCAAUAAAGAGGUGAAGCCAGUAUUUAUUUCUUUGGGGACCUGAAUCCCAGGGCAGAGGUACAUAGAGAACAUUCUUUUUUCUCUUGCUUUGGAAUCUUUCCAUUCAGCUUGGGAAGUCUUUUUAUUGAGAGAGGUGGAUGCAACAAUUCCCGAAAGCAGUGAGUAAGUAGCUCCUGAACUACAAAGAUCUGGAAGGUCAUUUGGUAGUAUAAAAUGGAAUUUUGCCCCAUAGUAAAAGUAGGUGGGAUUCAACUAAAGUCUUAAAAUGAAAAACAGUAGAAAAUAAAUAUGAAGGAAAAAUGGAGGGAAGAUUGAAGUCCUGCAUCCUCAUUUUCAAAGCCUGAGCGUGAGGCAGCUUUCUAAGAUGUAAUAGCCUUGGCUAGCCACUUCCACGCUCCAUCGUCUUGUCCCUGCAGAGGAAAAGCACCUCCACGUUUUGAUCAACAAUGCAGGAGUGAUGAUGUGUCCGUACUCGAAGACAGCAGAUGGCUUUGAGAUGCACAUAGGAGUCAACCACUUGGGUAAGAAAUCUGGCCUUAUCACAAAGCUAGAGAGACCCAAAAUUCUCUUUGGGAAACUUAGGGGUCAGAUUGAGGCUUCUUGUUGUGUGAUUGAACCUCAGGACCAUAAUAGACCAUGUGUGCAUAAUAGUUUGGUCCUACCUGAUAGCUGAGGAAUACCUGAGGGCUGCUCCAGGUUCUGCCCGCUUUUUAAUCUGUGAUUUAGAUUCGGUUUGCCUUGGCACAUUUUUUAACAGACUAAUAGGUUUAGGGGACUGUGUUGCUUUCUUAGUAGUGAUCCUUGUGGCCAGCAUCAGGUAUAGGUCAUCUGCUCUUUUUUUGUAGAGACAGGGUCUUGCUAUGUUGCCCAGGCUGUUCUUAAACUCCUGGCCUCAGGCACCUUCCUGCCUCAGCCUCCUUAAGUGCUGAGAUUACCGGCGUGAGCCACCGCACCCAGCCAACCAGCUCUUAAGAAUGAGAUUAACCAAAGUAGGAAUGAGCUGGGACUUCAUAUUCACAUAGUCUAGACCUAUCUCGCUCAUAUAAGGAUGCCUCAUGUCUUCGGCUGUUGUUAUUUCCCUAAACCUUCAUUAAACUUGUUUUCUAGUUGAUAAUGAAAAGUUGGAGGGAAAGACCUUAUUUCUGAAUUAUCUGCCUCCCAUAGGUGAGGCCUGCUCACCACGACUCCUGUCAUUCCUACAUGGCCCUGAACUUCAUUAAUUCUAGUAUUUCUCAACAGGUCACUUCCUCCUAACCCAUCUGCUGCUAGAGAAACUAAAGGAAUCAGCCCCAUCAAGGAUAGUAAAUGUGUCUUCCCUCGCACAUCACCUGGGAAGGAUCCACUUCCAUAACCUGCAGGGCGAGAAAUUCUACAAUGCAGGCCUGGCCUACUGUCACAGCAAGCUAGCCAACAUCCUCUUCACCCAGGAACUGGCCCGGAGACUAAAAGAGAUGAAGAAAUGAGUCACAAAAGGGAACUUGCCCAAGGUUACACAGCUAAUGAGUGGAGCCAGGAUUUGAAACUGGGCAGUCUGUCUACAAAAUCCAUGCCCAUAACCACCACAUUGUGUUGACUCCCAGUGUGUCUGCAGUUCAGAGGAGCAGUUUGGACUGCGGACAAAAUGCUCUGGCGUUACGACGUAUUCUGUACACCCUGGCACAGUCCAAUCUGAACUGGUUCGGCACUCAUCUUUCAUGAGAUGGAUGUGGUGGCUUUUCUCCUUUUUCAUCAAGACUCCUCAGCAGGGAGCCCAGACCAGCCUGCACUGUGCCUUAACAGAAGGUCUUGAGAUUCUAAGUGGGAAUCAUUUCAGUGACUGUCAUGUGGCAUGGGUCUCUGCCCAAGCUCGUAAUGAGACAAUAGCAAGGCGGCUGUGGGACGUCAGUUGUGACCUGCUGGGCCUCCCAAUAGACUAACAGGCAGUGCCAGUUGGACCCAAGAGAAGACUGCAGCAGACUACACAGUACUUCUUGUCAAAAUGAUUCUCCUUCAAGGUUUUCAAAACCUUUAGCACAAAGAGAGCAAAACCUUCCAGCCUUGCCUGCUUGGUGUCCAGUUAAAACUCAGUGUACUGCCAGAUUCGUCUAAAUGUCUGUCAUGUCUAGAUUUACUUUGCUUCUGUUACUGCCAGAGUUACUAGAGAUAUCAUAAUAGGAUAAGAAGACCCUCAUAUGACCUGCACAGCUCAUUUUCCUUCUGAAAGAAACUACUACCUAGGAGAAUCUAAGCUAUAGCAGGGAUGAUUUAUGCAAAUUUGAACUAGCUUCUUUGUUCACAAUUCAGUUCCUCCCAACCAACCAGUCUUCACUUCAAGAGGGUCACACUGCAACCUCAGCUUAACAUGAAUAACAAUGACUUGGCUCAGGAGCAGGGCUUGCCUAGGCAUGGUGGAUCACCGGAGGUCAGUAGUUCAAGACCAGCCUGGCCAACAUGGUGAAACCCCACCUCUACUAAAAAUUGUGUAUAUCUUUGUGUGUCUUCCUGUUUAUGUGUGCCAAGGGAGUAUUUUCACAAAGUUCAAAACAGCCACAAUAAUCAGAGAUGGAGCAAACCAGUGCCAUCCAGUCUUUAUGCAAAUGAAAUGCUGCAAAGGGAAGCAGAUUCUGUAUAUGUUGGUAACUACCCACCAAGAGCACAUGGGUAGCAGGGAAGAAGUAAAAAAAGAGAAGGAGAAUACUGGAAGAUAAUGCACAAAAUGAAGGGACUAGUUAAGGAUUAACUAGCCCCUUAAGGAUUAACUAGUUAAGGAUUAAUAGCAAAAGACAUUAAAUAUGCUAACAUAGCUAUGGAGGAAUUGAGGGCAAGCACCCAGGACUGAUGAGGUCUUAACAAAAACCAGUGUGGC
This 4035-nucleotide small RNA is filed under the name Pan troglodytes (chimpanzee). RNAcentral's name for it is "retained intron". The record is from RNAcentral. Lineage: Eukaryota; Metazoa; Chordata; Mammalia; Primates; Hominidae.